UAGGGAAUCUUGCGCAAUGGGCGAAAGCCUGACGCAGCAACGCCGCGUGGAGGACGAAGGCCUUCUGGGUUGUAAACUCCUUUCGGCAGGGACGAAUAAAAUGACGGUACCUGCAGAAGAAGCCCCGGCCAACUACGUGCCAGCAGCCGCGGUAAUACGUAGGGGGCAAGCGUUGUCCGGAUUUAUUGGGCGUAAAGAGCUCGUAGGCGGCUCGGCAAGUCGGGUGUGAAAUCUCCAGGCUCAACCUGGAGGGGCCACUCGAUACUGCCGUGGCUAGAGUCCGGUAGGGGGUCACGGAAUUCCUGGUGUAGCGGUGAAAUGCGCAGAGAUCAGGAGGAACACCGGUGGCGAAGGCGGUGACCUGGGCCGGUACUGACGCUGAGGAGCGAAAGCGUGGGGAGCGAACAGGAUUAGAUACCCCUGUAGUCC
Molecule: ribosomal RNA, 429 nt
Filed under: uncultured bacterium
Lineage: Bacteria
Description: bacterial SSU rRNA
Rfam family: Bacterial small subunit ribosomal RNA
Source: RNAcentral